Molecule: long non-coding RNA, 398 nt
Filed under: Musa acuminata (dwarf banana)
Lineage: Eukaryota; Viridiplantae; Streptophyta; Magnoliopsida; Zingiberales; Musaceae
Description: long non-coding RNA (MACU_LNC002571)
Source: RNAcentral
UCAUAAAAAUAUAUGAAAAGGGGGUAUUUAUAGGUCUUGUGGUAAACGAGGAGUUGCCAUAUGACAGCUUAUGAGUUUAUCAUGUGACAGCAAUGGUGGAAGAGGGUUGCAAUGCCCAGAAAGAGAUCUCUCGAUCUCUAUAUCGAAGCUGAAGAGCCCUCGCAUAUGCACUUGUCCUUACCUCACAUCCACACCAUAAGGUAAGGAGGGUUUACGCUUGAGAUAUGGAACUCUUUGUGAUGUUCUCACUGAUAGCCACUACAACUCUUAUGCUAUCUAUGUCUACCCACACUACACAAUGGGUUUAUACCAAAACAUCAAGGAGAAAUGAUGUUUAGCCAACAGUUUGAAUGCAUCCAUGGUGCAUUUAUUAUGGUUUUCACACCACUAGGCAAGGC